This 506-nucleotide ribosomal RNA is filed under the name uncultured bacterium. RNAcentral describes it as "partial 16S ribosomal RNA". It matches the Rfam family "Bacterial small subunit ribosomal RNA", at positions 29 to 523 of the family's 1533-position model. The record is from RNAcentral.
AGUGAACGCUGGCGGUAGGCCUAACACAUGCAAGUCGAACGGCAGCACAGGAGAGCUUGCUCUCUGGGUGGCGAGUGGCGGACGGGUGAGGAAUACAUCGGAAUCUACUUUUUUGUGGGGGAUAACGUAGGGAAACUUACGCUAAUACCGCAUACGACCUACGGGUGAAAGCAGGGGGUCUUCGGACCUUGCGCGAUUGAAUGAGCCGAGGUCGGAUUAGCUAGUUGGCGGGGUAAAGGCCCACCAAGGCGACGAUCCGUAGCUGGUCUGAGAGGAUUAUCAGGCACACUGGAACUGAGACACGGUCCAGACGCCUACGGGAGGCAGCAGUGGGGAAUAUUGGACAAUGGGCGCAAGCCUGAUCCAGCCAUACCGCGUGGGUGAAGAAGGCCUUCGGGUUGUAAAGCCCUUUUGUUGGGAAAGAAAUCCAGCUGGUUAAUACCCGGUUGGGAUGACGGUACCCAAAGAAUAAGCACCGGCUAACUUCGUGCCAGCAGCCGCGGUAA